This 377-nucleotide ribosomal RNA is filed under the name uncultured eukaryote. Its description in RNAcentral is "partial 18S ribosomal RNA". It matches the Rfam family "Eukaryotic small subunit ribosomal RNA", at positions 592 to 976 of the family's 1831-position model. The record is from RNAcentral.
CAAUAGCGUAUAUUUAAGUUGCUGCAGUUAAAAAGCUCGUAGUUGGAUUUCGGGUGGGAAUGGCCGGUCCGCCGUUUCGGUGUGCACUUGCUACGCCCACCUUGCUGCCGGGGACGUGCUCUUGAGUUCACGCUCGGGACACGGAGUCGGCGAGGUUACUUUGAGUAAAUUAGAGUGUUCAAAGCAGGCCUACGCUCUGAAUACAUUAGCAUGGAAUAACACGAUAGGACUCUGGCCUAUCUUGUUGGUCUGUAGGACCGGAGUAAUGAUUAAGAGGGACAGUCGGGGGCAUUCGUAUUUCAUUGUCAGAGGUGAAAUUCUUGGAUUUAUGAAAGACGAACUACUGCGAGAGCAUUUGCCAAGGAUGUUUUCAUUAA